CGCUUAAACAGCGCGACCGGGCCCCUUCCUGUUUGGCAGCCGGCUGGGAGGAAGUGAGUGCCGCGCGUCACUUCCUCCUACAGGAGAUCAGAGCCGCGCGGGAGGAGGAAGGCAGGGAGGAGAGGAGUUUCAGAGGAGAACUCCCAACUGACUCAGCCUGCCACUGGACCCCAGGGAAACCACUCUCCAGAAAAGGUAAGGG
Non-coding RNA from Pelobates cultripes (western spadefoot toad), 202 nucleotides. The record is from the annotation of a GenBank genome assembly. NCBI's taxonomy places the organism in Eukaryota, Metazoa, Chordata, Amphibia, Anura, Pelobatidae.